UACGUAGGGUGCAAGCGUUGUCCGGAAUUAUUGGGCGUAAAGAGCUCGUAGGCGGUUUGUCGCGUCGGCUGUGAAAACCUGGGGCUUAACUCCGGGCCUGCAGCCGAUACGGGCAGACUAGAGUUCGGCAGGGGAGACUGGAAUUCCUGGUGUAGCGGUGAAAUGCGCAGAUAUCAGGAGGAACACCGGUGGCGAAGGCGGGUCUCUGGGCCGAUACUGACGCUGAGGAGCGAAAGCGUGGGGAGCGAACAGG
RNAcentral lists this ribosomal RNA (253 nucleotides) under uncultured bacterium. Its description in RNAcentral is "partial 16S ribosomal RNA". It matches the Rfam family "Bacterial small subunit ribosomal RNA", at positions 524 to 776 of the family's 1533-position model. The record is from RNAcentral.